Molecule: transfer RNA, 76 nt
Filed under: Candidatus Acidulidesulfobacter guangdongensis
Lineage: Bacteria; Candidatus Acidulodesulfobacteriota; Candidatus Acidulidesulfobacterales; Candidatus Acidulidesulfobacteraceae
Description: Candidatus Acididesulfobacter guangdongensis tRNA-Ala
Rfam family: tRNA
About the family: Transfer RNA (tRNA) molecules are approximately 80 nucleotides in length. Their secondary structure includes four short double-helical elements and three loops (D, anti-codon, and T loops).
Source: RNAcentral
GGGGCUGUAACUCAGUUGGCAGAGUGCUUGCAUGGCAUGCAAGAUGUCGUCGGUUCGACUCCGAUCAGCUCCACCA